This 116-nucleotide small RNA is filed under the name Marmota monax (woodchuck). Lineage: Eukaryota; Metazoa; Chordata; Mammalia; Rodentia; Sciuridae. The record is from RNAcentral.
GCUGGGCGUGGUGGCAUAUGCCCGUAAUCCCAGUGGCUCAGGAGGCUGAGGCAGGGGCAUCACCAGCCUCAGCAAUUUUAGGAGACCCUAAGCAACUUAGUGAGACCCUUUCUCAA